This 208-nucleotide long non-coding RNA is filed under the name Manihot esculenta (cassava). RNAcentral's name for it is "long non-coding RNA (MESC_LNC008875)". Lineage: Eukaryota; Viridiplantae; Streptophyta; Magnoliopsida; Malpighiales; Euphorbiaceae. The record is from RNAcentral.
ACGGGGGCAUUAAGGAAAUUUCCUUUCUCUUCUCGGAAGAAGGAGCAGACCUCUCAUCAGCCCAGAACCUCUUGGGAGCCCGGACAACAAACAGAGGAGGAGGCCGACCAGAUGAUCUGGGUAAAACAGUCUCAGCAGCUUGCCGAAUAGUCCCACCCAUCGGCCGCCCUACCAGAAGGAUCUCUAAAGCACCGUCCAGACUCCUUAG